Gavialis gangeticus (Gharial) is the source of this 433-nucleotide long non-coding RNA. RefSeq lists it as uncharacterized. The transcript has 2 exons. NCBI's taxonomy places the organism in Eukaryota, Metazoa, Chordata, Crocodylia, Gavialidae. The record is from RefSeq and is a predicted model, not a curated record.
UGUAGCAUCAACUUACUGUGCUUGGUUUAUCAUCAGAUAGUAUUACCUUGUGGUCAACACUGGGGCAGUCCUGCAUCAGAUUCAGGGCUUUGUUUUUCAAGCAAUUGCUAAUAACAUGAAUAUAGAUUUUGAAUUGUAGCUGUUCUGUAAGAUACAAUACUGCACAGUAAGACUGAAGCUUGAAAAGAUGUAGCUACAGGGGGCACUUAUUCAACAAAAAUGGCUUUUAAGCACUUAGCUUAAGGUCCUGCUGGCUGCCUCCUCUUAUACAAGACAACAUAAAUAGUCCCAGCUUUGGAUGGAUUUCUACAGCUCUUCUAAACUUCCUUGGAAGAGCAGUGUUUUGUCUUAGUCAGGUCACUGGUUUCUCACACUGUAUGAGAACACUUUGGGAAAGGCUCAUUCUGGGCAAUAAACACUGAAUGUACCUGAA